RNAcentral lists this ribosomal RNA (293 nucleotides) under uncultured bacterium. Its description in RNAcentral is "partial 16S ribosomal RNA". It matches the Rfam family "Bacterial small subunit ribosomal RNA", at positions 28 to 301 of the family's 1533-position model. The record is from RNAcentral.
GACGAACGCUGGCGGCGUGCUUAACACAUGCAAGUCAGGGAGAACGGUGUCCUUCGGGAGUGCCUAGUAAACCGGCGAACGGGUGAGUAACACGUAGGUAACUUGCCUUUGGGUUUGGGAUAACCUCGCUAACGCGGGGGUAAGUUCCGAAUAAUGCAGCGGAUCCGCAUGGAUAUGUUGUUAAAGCGGCGAUGACUUGUCAUCGUCGCGCCUAAAGAUGGACCUGCGCCCCAUUAGCAGUUGGUGAGGUUACGGCUCACCAAGGCUGCGAUGGGUAGCCGGCCUGAGAGGGU